GCGUGCAGGAAGAAGGCCUUCGGGUUGUAAACUGCUUUUGUCAGGGAAGAAAUCUUCUGGGCUAAUACCCCGGGAGGAUGACGGUACCUGAAGAAUAAGCACCGGCUAACUACGUGCCAGCAGCCGCGGUAAUACGUAGGGUGCGAGCGUUAAUCGGAAUUACUGGGCGUAAAGCGUGCGCAGGCGGCUUUGCAAGACAGAUGUGAAAUCCCCGGGCUCAACCUGGGAACUGCAUUUGUGACUGCAAGGCUAGAGUACGGCAGAGGGGGAUGGAAUUCCGCGUGUAGCAGUGAAAUGCGU
This 300-nucleotide ribosomal RNA is filed under the name uncultured bacterium. RNAcentral's name for it is "bacterial SSU rRNA". It matches the Rfam family "Bacterial small subunit ribosomal RNA", at positions 399 to 691 of the family's 1533-position model. The record is from RNAcentral.